CACCUCUCAGGGUGGUACCUGGAGAGUUUCCAGUCCUCUACCAGUCUCGACUAUGGGAGGGAGAGUCAAGCAGAGGCAUAUCCAUUCCAUUUCUGGCUUGGGCAGUAGCUAGCGAGUGGAAGACCAUCUGUUAAAAGU
Small nucleolar RNA from Tachyglossus aculeatus (Australian echidna), 138 nucleotides. The record is from RefSeq and is a predicted model, not a curated record. NCBI's taxonomy places the organism in Eukaryota, Metazoa, Chordata, Mammalia, Monotremata, Tachyglossidae.